This 520-nucleotide ribosomal RNA is filed under the name uncultured Glomeromycotina. RNAcentral's name for it is "SSU rRNA". It matches the Rfam family "Eukaryotic small subunit ribosomal RNA", at positions 569 to 1093 of the family's 1831-position model. Lineage: Eukaryota; Fungi; Glomeromycota. The record is from RNAcentral.
AGCAGCCGCGGUAAUUCCAGCUCCAAUAGCGUAUAUUAAAGUUGUUGCAGUUAAAAAGCUCGUAGUUGAAUUUCGGGGUUCUACCGUUGGUCAGGCUAUUGUCUGUACUGGCGUGUAGAAUUUCUACCUUCUGGGGAACUAUCAUGUUAUUAAUUUAGCGUGGUAGGAAACCAGGACCUUUACCUUGAAAAAAUUAGAGUGUUCAAAGCAGGCUUAUGUCUGAAUACAUUAGCAUGGAAUAAUAAAAUAGGACGGUGGUCCUGUUUUGUUGGUUUCUGAAUCACCGUAAUGAUUAAUAGGGAUAGUUGGGGGCAUUAGUAUUCAAUUGUCAGAGGUGAAAUUCUUGGAUUUAUUGAAGACUAACUACUGCGAAAGCAUUUGCCAAGGAUGUUUUCAUUAAUCAAGAACGAAAGUUAGGGGAUCGAAGACGAUCAGAUACCGUCGUAGUCUUAACCAUAAACUAUGCCGACUAGGGAUCGGACGAUGUUAAACUUUCUUGUACUCGUUCGGCGCCUACGGG